CCUACGGGAUGCAGCAGUGAGGAAUAUUGGUCAAUGGACGAGAGUCUGAACCAGCCAAGUAGCGUGAAGGAUGACUGCCCUAUGGGUUGUAAACUUCUUUUAUAUGGGAAUAAAAUGUUCCACGUGUGGGAUUUUGUAUGUACCAUAUGAAUAAGGAUCGGCUAACUCCGUGCCAGCAGCCGCGGUAAUACGGAGGAUCCGAGCGUUAUCCGGAUUUAUUGGGUUUAAAGGGAGCGUAGGUGGAUUGUUAAGUCAGUUGUGAAAGUUUGCGGCUCAACCGUAAAAUUGCAGUUGAAACUGGCAGUCUUGAGUACAGAAGAGGUGGGCGGAAUUCGUGGUGUAGCGGUGAAAUGCUUAGAUAUCACGAAGAACUCCGAUUGCGAAGGCAGUUCACUGGACUGCAACUGACACUGAGGCUCGAAAGUGUGGGUAUCAAACAGGAUUAGAUACCCCAGUAGUC
Molecule: ribosomal RNA, 460 nt
Filed under: uncultured bacterium
Lineage: Bacteria
Description: partial 16S ribosomal RNA
Rfam family: Bacterial small subunit ribosomal RNA
Source: RNAcentral